AGCUCCAAUAGCGUAUAUUUAAGUUGUUGCAGUUAAAAAGCUCGUAGUUGGAUUUCUGAUCAGCAUCAUGUGUCUGCCGUUUCGGUGUGUACGCAUGCUGUUGGUCAUCUAGUCGGAGGAGGGUAUGCUAUUGACUUAGUGUGCCUCUUUUUCGGCGGCGAUACUUUGAGUAAAACAUAGUGUUCCAAGCAGGCGUUAGCCUUGAGUACUGCAGCAUGGAAUAUCAUGAUAGGACUUUCCAUCCUAUCUUGUUGGUUCUUAGGAUGGAAGUAAUGAUCAAUAGGGACAGUUGGACUGAUUCGUACCGGGUUGUCAGAGGUGAAAUUCUUGGAUUAUCCCGUGACGAACUACUGCGAAAGCAUUUCAGGAGGAUGUUUUCA
RNAcentral lists this ribosomal RNA (380 nucleotides) under uncultured eukaryote. RNAcentral describes it as "SSU rRNA". It matches the Rfam family "Eukaryotic small subunit ribosomal RNA", at positions 587 to 972 of the family's 1831-position model. The record is from RNAcentral.